GAUGAACGCUGGCGGCGUGCCUAAUACAUGCAAGUCGAGCGAACAGACGAGGAGCUUGCUCCUCUGACGUUAGCGGCGGACGGGUGAGUAACACGUGGAUAACCUACCUAUAAGACUGGGAAACCUCCGGAAAACGGGGGCAAUAACGGGAAAAAUUAUUAAACCGAUUGGUUCAUAAGGAAAAACGGGUUUGCUGGUAACUAUAAAAUGGUCCGCGCCGCAUUAGCUAGUUGGUAAGGUAACGGCUUACCAAGGCAACGAUGCGUAGCCGACCUGAGAGGGUGAUCGGCCACACUGGAACUGAGACACGGUCCAGACUCCUACGGGAGGCAGCAGUAGGGAAUCUUCCGCAAUGGGCGAAAGCUUGACGGAGCAACGCCGCGUGAGUGAUGAAGGUCUUCGGAUCGUAAAACUCUGUUAUUAGGGAAGAACAAAUGUGUAAGUAACUAUGCACGUCUUGACGGUACCUAAUCAGAAAGCCACGGCUAACUACGUG
RNAcentral lists this ribosomal RNA (496 nucleotides) under uncultured bacterium. Its description in RNAcentral is "partial 16S ribosomal RNA". It matches the Rfam family "Bacterial small subunit ribosomal RNA", at positions 28 to 507 of the family's 1533-position model. The record is from RNAcentral.